RNAcentral lists this ribosomal RNA (487 nucleotides) under uncultured archaeon. RNAcentral describes it as "bacterial SSU rRNA". It matches the Rfam family "Archaeal small subunit ribosomal RNA", at positions 355 to 848 of the family's 1478-position model. The record is from RNAcentral.
AUACACGAAAGUGUGACGGGGUUACCCAAAGUGUUCUUAUUGAACUGUGGUAGGUGAGUAAUGUCCCCUACUAGAAAGGAGAGGGCAAGGCUGGUGCCAGCCGCCGCGGUAAAACCAGCUCUUCAAGUGGUCGGGAUAAUUAUUGGGCUUAAAGUGUCCGUAGCCGGUUUAGUUAGUUCCUGGUAAAAUCGGGUAGCUUAACUAUCUGUAUGCUAGGAAUACUGCUAUACUAGAGGGCGGGAGAGGUCUGAGGUACUACAGGGGUAGGGGUGAAAUCUUAUAAUCCUUGUAGGACCACCAGUGGCGAAGGCGUCAGACUGGAACGCGCCUGACGGUGAGGGACGAAAGCCAGGGGAGCGAACCGGAUUAGAUACCCGGGUAGUCCUGGCCGUAAACGGAUGCAUACUAGGUGAUGGCACGGCUAUGAGCCGUGUCAGUGCCGUAGGGAAACCGUUAAGUGUGCCGCCUGGGAAGUACGGUCGCAAGG